AGUGAACGCUGGCGGUAGGCCUAACACAUGCAAGUCGAACGGCAGCACAGUAAGAGCUUGCUCUUACGGGUGGCGAGUGGCGGACGGGUGAGGAAUACAUCGGAAUCUACUUUUUCGUGGGGGAUAACGUAGGGAAACUUACGCUAAUACCGCAUACGACCUACGGUUGAAAGCAGGGGAUCUUCGGACCUUGCGCGAUUGAAUGAGCCGAUGUCGGAUUAGCUAGUUGGCGGGGUAAAGGCCCACCAAGGCGACGAUCCGUAGCUGGUCUGAGAGGAUGAUCGGCCACACUGGAACUGGGACACGGUCCAGACUCCUACGGGAGGCAGCAGUGGGGAAUAUUGGACAAUGGGCGCAAGCCUGAUCCAGCCAUACCGCGUGGGUGAAGAAGGCCUUCGGGUUGUAAAGCCCUUUUGUUGGGAAAGAAAAGCAGCAGGUUAAUACCCCGCUGUUCUGACGGUACCCAAAGAAUAAGCACCGGCUAACUUCGUG
RNAcentral lists this ribosomal RNA (492 nucleotides) under uncultured bacterium. Its description in RNAcentral is "partial 16S ribosomal RNA". It matches the Rfam family "Bacterial small subunit ribosomal RNA", at positions 29 to 507 of the family's 1533-position model. The record is from RNAcentral.